Molecule: ribosomal RNA, 478 nt
Filed under: Escherichia coli
Lineage: Bacteria; Pseudomonadati; Pseudomonadota; Gammaproteobacteria; Enterobacterales; Enterobacteriaceae
Description: bacterial SSU rRNA
Rfam family: Bacterial small subunit ribosomal RNA
Source: RNAcentral
AUUGAACGCUGGCGGCAGGCCUAACACAUGCAAGUCGAACGGUAACAGAAAGCAGCUUGCUGCUUUGCUGACGAGUGGCGGACGGGUGAGUAAUGUCUGGGAAACUGCCCGAUGGAGGGGGAUAACUACUGGAAACGGUAGCUAAUACCGCAUAACGUCGCAAGACCAAAGAGGGGGACCUUCGGGCCUCUUGCCAUCGGAUGUGCCCAGAUGGGAUUAGCUAGUAGGUGGGGUAACGGCUCACCUAGGCGACGAUCCCUAGCUGGUCUGAGAGGAUGACCAGCCACACUGGAACUGAGACACGGUCCAGACUCCUACGGGAGGCAGCAGUGGGGAAUAUUGCACAAUGGGCGCAAGCCUGAUGCAGCCAUGCCGCGUGUAUGAAGAAGGCCUUCGGGUUGUAAAGUACUUUCAGCGGGGAGGAAGGGAGUAAAGUUAAUACCUUUGCUCAUUGACGUACCCGCAGAAGAGCACCGCA